This 492-nucleotide ribosomal RNA is filed under the name uncultured bacterium. Its description in RNAcentral is "partial 16S ribosomal RNA". It matches the Rfam family "Bacterial small subunit ribosomal RNA", at positions 29 to 507 of the family's 1533-position model. The record is from RNAcentral.
AGUGAACGCUGGCGGUAGGCCUAACACAUGCAAGUCGAACGGCAGCACCGUAAGAGCUUGCUCUUACGGGUGGCGAGUGGCGGACGUGUGAGGAAUACAUCGUAAUCUACUCUUUCGUGGGGGAUAACGUAGGGAAACUUACGCUAAUACCGCAUACGACCUACGGGUGAAAGCAGUGGAUCUUCGGACCUUGCGCGAUUGAAUGAGCCGAUGUCGGAUUAGCUAGUUGGCGGGGUAAAGGCCCACCAAGGCGACGAUCCGUAGCUCGUCUGAGAGGAUGGUCGGCCACACGAGAACUGAGACACGGUCCAUGCUACUACGGGAGGCAGCAGUGGGGAAUAUUGGACAAUGGGCGCAAACCUGAUCCAGCCAUACCGCGUGGGUUAAGAAGGCCUUCGGGUUGUAAAGCCCUUUUGUUGGGAAAGAAAAGCAGCCGGUUAAUACCACGCUGUUCUGACGGUACCCAAAGAAUAAGCACCGGCCAACUUCGUG